AUAAAUUUUUUUUCGAAAGAAAAUCUGUUCUUAAUCUUUAUAACCCUGAAUAGCGUUUCCUCCAUUCGAGGACUUUUAUAUUAAAAGGAUUUUAGAGCGAGGAGCUUGGAGAGGGGCUUGCUCCGUCCGCUCCACGCAUCGACCUGGUAUUGCAGUACCCUCCAGGAACGGUGCACCUUUU
This is a small nuclear RNA of Ictalurus punctatus (channel catfish), 181 nucleotides long. Its record names the gene U2. It matches the Rfam family "U2 spliceosomal RNA". From Rfam's summary of the family: U2 is a small nuclear RNA (snRNA) component of the spliceosome (involved in pre-mRNA splicing). Complementary binding between U2 snRNA (in an area lying towards the 5' end but 3' to hairpin I) and the branchpoint sequence (BPS) of the intron results the bulging out of an unpaired adenosine, on the BPS, which initiates a nucleophilic attack at the intronic 5' splice site, thus starting the first of two transesterification reactions that mediate splicing. Lineage: Eukaryota; Metazoa; Chordata; Actinopteri; Siluriformes; Ictaluridae. The record is from Ensembl.